GAUGAACGCUGGCGGCGUGCCUAAUACAUGCAAGUCGAGCGAACGGACGAGAAGCUUGCUUCUCUGAUGUUAGCGGCGGACGGGUGAGUAACACGUGGAUAACCUACCUAUAAGACUGGGAUAACUUCGGGAAACCGGAGCUAAUACCGGAUGAUAUUUUGAACCGCAUGGUUCAAAAGUGAAAGACGGUCUUGCUGUCACUUAUAGAUGGAUCCGCGCUGCAUUAGCUAGUUGGUAAGGUAACGGCUUACCAAGGCAACGAUGCAUAGCCGACCUGAGAGGGUGAUCGGCCACACUGGAACUGAGACACGGUCCAGACUCCUACGGGAGGCAGCAGUAGGGAAUCGUCCGCAAUGGGCGAAAGCCUGACGGAGCAACGCCGCGUGAGUGAUGAAGGUCUUCGGAUCGUAAAACUCUGUUAUUAGGGAAGAACAGAUGUGUAAGUAACUGUGCACAUCUUGACGGUACCUAAUCAGAAAGCCACGGCUAACUACGUG
This 497-nucleotide ribosomal RNA is filed under the name uncultured bacterium. RNAcentral's name for it is "partial 16S ribosomal RNA". It matches the Rfam family "Bacterial small subunit ribosomal RNA", at positions 28 to 507 of the family's 1533-position model. The record is from RNAcentral.